UUUUUAAUAUAUUUUUUCUGCGCGCGGGGAACAUCGGGCACGUGCGCAUUAAAUAUUACACAUGGUUUCGAAUUUUUUGACGUUUCCGGUAAGUUUUAGCUUGUGGCUCAUUAAUCACGCGUCUAAGGACGGAUAAGUAGUGUUGGCAAAGGUACCGCGUUCAGAAAGGGGUGUAAACCGUGGUGAAACUCGUGUUGGUGCGGUAGAAAGGGGGUGUGUGGAAACGAUGGUAAACUAGUCUCCGUCGUUAAGCGACAGAGUAAGUAGUGCAGUGGAGUAUCCGUUAUUAGGCAGUGCUGACAAAGAAGGUAGAGUCGGGUUUAUAGUGGAGCUGGGAGGGGCGAGCAUAAGGGACGAAGUUGGGGAAACAUGUCGGAUGCGAUCAUACCAGCACUAAAGCACCGGAUCCCAUCAGAACUCAUGAAGUUAAGCGUGCUUGGGCGAGAGUAGUACUAGGAUGAUCCCAUCAGAACUCCGAAGUUAAGCGUGCUUGGGCGAGAGUAGUACUAGGAUGGGUGACCUCCUGGGAAGUCCUCGUGUUGCAUUCCC
Molecule: ribosomal RNA, 549 nt
Filed under: Hordeum murinum
Lineage: Eukaryota; Viridiplantae; Streptophyta; Magnoliopsida; Poales; Poaceae
Source: RNAcentral